This 2904-nucleotide ribosomal RNA is filed under the name Escherichia coli. RNAcentral describes it as "23S ribosomal RNA". It matches the Rfam family "Bacterial large subunit ribosomal RNA". Lineage: Bacteria; Pseudomonadati; Pseudomonadota; Gammaproteobacteria; Enterobacterales; Enterobacteriaceae. The record is from RNAcentral.
GGUUAAGCGACUAAGCGUACACGGUGGAUGCCCUGGCAGUCAGAGGCGAUGAAGGACGUGCUAAUCUGCGAUAAGCGUCGGUAAGGUGAUAUGAACCGUUAUAACCGGCGAUUUCCGAAUGGGGAAACCCAGUGUGUUUCGACACACUAUCAUUAACUGAAUCCAUAGGUUAAUGAGGCGAACCGGGGGAACUGAAACAUCUAAGUACCCCGAGGAAAAGAAAUCAACCGAGAUUCCCCCAGUAGCGGCGAGCGAACGGGGAGCAGCCCAGAGCCUGAAUCAGUGUGUGUGUUAGUGGAAGCGUCUGGAAAGGCGCGCGAUACAGGGUGACAGCCCCGUACACAAAAAUGCACAUGCUGUGAGCUCGAUGAGUAGGGCGGGACACGUGGUAUCCUGUCUGAAUAUGGGGGGACCAUCCUCCAAGGCUAAAUACUCCUGACUGACCGAUAGUGAACCAGUACCGUGAGGGAAAGGCGAAAAGAACCCCGGCGAGGGGAGUGAAAAAGAACCUGAAACCGUGUACGUACAAGCAGUGGGAGCACGCUUAGGCGUGUGACUGCGUACCUUUUGUAUAAUGGGUCAGCGACUUAUAUUCUGUAGCAAGGUUAACCGAAUAGGGGAGCCGAAGGGAAACCGAGUCUUAACUGGGCGUUAAGUUGCAGGGUAUAGACCCGAAACCCGGUGAUCUAGCCAUGGGCAGGUUGAAGGUUGGGUAACACUAACUGGAGGACCGAACCGACUAAUGUUGAAAAAUUAGCGGAUGACUUGUGGCUGGGGGUGAAAGGCCAAUCAAACCGGGAGAUAGCUGGUUCUCCCCGAAAGCUAUUUAGGUAGCGCCUCGUGAAUUCAUCUCCGGGGGUAGAGCACUGUUUCGGCAAGGGGGUCAUCCCGACUUACCAACCCGAUGCAAACUGCGAAUACCGGAGAAUGUUAUCACGGGAGACACACGGCGGGUGCUAACGUCCGUCGUGAAGAGGGAAACAACCCAGACCGCCAGCUAAGGUCCCAAAGUCAUGGUUAAGUGGGAAACGAUGUGGGAAGGCCCAGACAGCCAGGAUGUUGGCUUAGAAGCAGCCAUCAUUUAAAGAAAGCGUAAUAGCUCACUGGUCGAGUCGGCCUGCGCGGAAGAUGUAACGGGGCUAAACCAUGCACCGAAGCUGCGGCAGCGACGCUGAUGCGUUGUUGGGUAGGGGAGCGUUCUGUAAGCCUGUGAAGGUGUACUGUGAGGUAUGCUGGAGGUAUCAGAAGUGCGAAUGCUGACAUAAGUAACGAUAAAGCGGGUGAAAAGCCCGCUCGCCGGAAGACCAAGGGUUCCUGUCCAACGUUAAUCGGGGCAGGGUGAGUCGACCCCUAAGGCGAGGCCGAAAGGCGUAGUCGAUGGGAAACAGGUUAAUAUUCCUGUACUUGGUGUUACUGCGAAGGGGGGACGGAGAAGGCUAUGUUGGCCGGGCGACGGUUGUCCCGGUUUAAGCGUGUAGGCUGGUUUUCCAGGCAAAUCCGGAAAAUCAAGGCUGAGGCGUGAUGACGAGGCACUACGGUGCUGAAGCAACAAAUGCCCUGCUUCCAGGAAAAGCCUCUAAGCAUCAGGUAACAUCAAAUCGUACCCCAAACCGACACAGGUGGUCAGGUAGAGAAUACCAAGGCGCUUGAGAGAACUCGGGUGAAGGAACUAGGCAAAAUGGUGCCGUAACUUCGGGAGAAGGCACGCUGAUAUGUAGGUGAAGUCCCUCGCGGAUGGAGCUGAAAUCAGUCGAAGAUACCAGCUGGCUGCAACUGUUUAUUAAAAACACAGCACUGUGCAAACACGAAAGUGGACGUAUACGGUGUGACGCCUGCCCGGUGCCGGAAGGUUAAUUGAUGGGGUUAGCGCAAGCGAAGCUCUUGAUCGAAGCCCCGGUAAACGGCGGCCGUAACUAUAACGGUCCUAAGGUAGCGAAAUUCCUUGUCGGGUAAGUUCCGACCUGCACGAAUGGCGUAAUGAUGGCCAGGCUGUCUCCACCCGAGACUCAGUGAAAUUGAACUCGCUGUGAAGAUGCAGUGUACCCGCGGCAAGACGGAAAGACCCCGUGAACCUUUACUAUAGCUUGACACUGAACAUUGAGCCUUGAUGUGUAGGAUAGGUGGGAGGCUUUGAAGUGUGGACGCCAGUCUGCAUGGAGCCGACCUUGAAAUACCACCCUUUAAUGUUUGAUGUUCUAACGUUGACCCGUAAUCCGGGUUGCGGACAGUGUCUGGUGGGUAGUUUGACUGGGGCGGUCUCCUCCUAAAGAGUAACGGAGGAGCACGAAGGUUGGCUAAUCCUGGUCGGACAUCAGGAGGUUAGUGCAAUGGCAUAAGCCAGCUUGACUGCGAGCGUGACGGCGCGAGCAGGUGCGAAAGCAGGUCAUAGUGAUCCGGUGGUUCUGAAUGGAAGGGCCAUCGCUCAACGGAUAAAAGGUACUCCGGGGAUAACAGGCUGAUACCGCCCAAGAGUUCAUAUCGACGGCGGUGUUUGGCACCUCGAUGUCGGCUCAUCACAUCCUGGGGCUGAAGUAGGUCCCAAGGGUAUGGCUGUUCGCCAUUUAAAGUGGUACGCGAGCUGGGUUUAGAACGUCGUGAGACAGUUCGGUCCCUAUCUGCCGUGGGCGCUGGAGAACUGAGGGGGGCUGCUCCUAGUACGAGAGGACCGGAGUGGACGCAUCACUGGUGUUCGGGUUGUCAUGCCAAUGGCACUGCCCGGUAGCUAAAUGCGGAAGAGAUAAGUGCUGAAAGCAUCUAAGCACGAAACUUGCCCCGAGAUGAGUUCUCCCUGACCCUUUAAGGGUCCUGAAGGAACGUUGAAGACGACGACGUUGAUAGGCCGGGUGUGUAAGCGCAGCGAUGCGUUGAGCUAACCGGUACUAAUGAACCGUGAGGCUUAACCUU